RNAcentral lists this long non-coding RNA (3984 nucleotides) under Taeniopygia guttata (zebra finch). RNAcentral's name for it is "lncRNA (ENSTGUG00000023116.1)". The record is from RNAcentral. Lineage: Eukaryota; Metazoa; Chordata; Aves; Passeriformes; Estrildidae.
AACAGUAUUUCCAUUUAUUGGUAUAAUUCAAUACAUGGAGUGCAUUGACCAUACACAGAAUUAAGUGAUAGGCUGAUUUUUAUUUGUCUGAGUGGGAUUGUAGUGGUCAGAAGUAAGGACAGAAUUUAGGACAUUAUCCCUCCUGGGCUGCUGAGUCUCCUCAGAUUCUGUAGACUUCAGUGGGGACCAGAGGACAGAAGUUCCUUAUGGAAUGGUGUCUUUGGGAAUUGCUGACUUGUGACAGCCAGCAAAGCUAAGUUGGCAGUGGGGACAGCUUCUGUGCUCACUGUACAUCCGGUGUUACUGAAAUGACUUUACUCAGAGUAUUACACUGUGGUGGUAUGCUGCAAUAGAAGGUCGUUGCUGUCAUAUUCUGUACCUCUGCUUAUUGAAAUGAACACCAUAAUAAAAUAUAAUAGAAUAUAUAUGUUAUAAUAGAAUAUGUAUAUAUUCCUUUCCUCUGUUACCAUGGUGAUUGCUCUUAAAAAGAUACUAUAAUAAAAAAUUAAGUAAUAAUUACUUCAUUUAAAAACAAACAAACCCCAUGACCUGGUUCCCUUGAAAGAUUAAGCAAUUCUGACUAGAACAGGAACUAUCUGCUAAGAACAGUGAAUUGUUAUGGUGAAGCUGGAGGGUGUCUCUUUCAUGGAAAUGAAACGAAUUAAGAAAAUCCCAACACUGAUAUGGUAAGUUCACUUUACUGAAAUUAGUUGCCACAAGAAAUCACUGAAAAAAUAGGCCUUUAUAAUUUUUGUUAAAUUGGGCUAUUCUCAUGGUGUUAAAAUAUGAAUGUAUGAAAGAACUUAAUUGUAGAAUCUGUAAUGUUGACCUUCUUUUGAUAACUUAGCUUUGGCGUAGCCUCUGCUUUUACAUGAGAGCACUCAGUUUGUAGUGCUGGCUCAAACCCGCUGUAUGGCUACUGAGCUUCAGCAGGUUUAGCACUUCUCUACUCUAGACACAGCAUUUGUAUGUUUUUUUCCUCCCCAAAGAAGUAAAUUAUUUAUACAGCAUAAACCUUUUUUAACCUAGCUUCUGACAGGCUGGGAUUUUUCCAAUCUCAGUUGAAACUGUCUAAAUAAUUUAUCAAGUAUUCUUUCAGUGUACAAUGAAUUCUGAAACCUAAGAAAUGUUAAAUGAGAUUCUCUGCCCUUACAGUAUGAGUGGGUUACUGAGGUUAAGCUAGUAUUUUCUUUGAACUUUUCUCAGUCCCCGUUUUCUCCCAUUGCAGAAUCUCCUUUUCCUCUCCUACUAUCUAUUAAUUUUCAUGACAUUUUCUAUUUAUCAGCCUUUUCUUUUGUGUUUCUCUUUCUCUUGCUACCUCUUCCCUUGCUGAUGUUUUUCUAUACCUCUUCUUCAUUGCAGGAAGACAGCUUCCCUUAAAAUGGUCCUCCAGAGAGAGGAACCAUCAAUUUCCAGUCCCAAGAUGCACAGGCAGUCCUGGAUCUUUCAGUCCAGCCUCAAAUUUAACUGCACCUUCUCCACCUAUCUCCAUAAAGAAAAUGGUGACAAAUCACAGAAUCACAGUCAUAGAAUGGUUUGACUUGGAAAGGACCUUUACAGGUCCUGUAGUCCAACCUGUGUGGGCAAGGACAUCUUCAAGUAGAUCAGGUUGCUUUGAGCUCUGUUCAACCUGGCCUUGAAUGUUUCCAGGGAUGGGGUAUCUGCCACCUCUCUGGACAGCCUGUUCCAGUGUUCUGUCACCCUCACCAUAAAAAAUUUCUUCCUUAUAUCCUGUCUAAAUUUAUAAAUCUAAUUUCUUUCAGUCUAAAAUCAUUACCCCUUGUAUAUUGCUACAGGCCCUGCUACUAAAAAGUCAAUCCCCCGUCUUAAAAAGUCUUGAGGUCUCUGGUAAAGAAGAAAGAUGCUUACACAGAACUUGGAUCUGCAAACAUGUAAACCUGAAAAAAUGUAUUUUCAGGUCAGGUAUCUCACACACACCAACUCCAAUCCAUUUCUAUCUGGUCAAGACUUCCUCUAAGAUUGCCUUCAUUUUAUAGCACUGUGAUAAUUAUGUCUCAAAAAACCACUUAAGUUUGUAAAAACACAAAAAAACCUUCCACCAAGACUUGGAUCCAUUCCAAAUUUUCCAGCAGGCAUUUUAAUCCUUUUAAAGUUUAGUCAGUGGUCCAGGUGGCUUCCAAAUUUCUUUUCAGCAUGAAAAAAAUAACAAAGUAGCACUCCAUAGAGAUUUUUAUUUAGGCUCAGCAAUUCAGUAUUGUAUCCCUUAUGAAUUAAUGAUAUCAUGAACUCUGCUUCAAGAUGUCUGAAGUAACCUCACAGCUAAAAAAAGAAGAAGUCUGGACUGGCUGCUGAUUUCUGUAAUUCUGCUGUAUUGUAACUGUUUAAACUGAACAUAUUCCUUUAAGGAAGCUAUUUAUUUUUUAAGUUUAAAACAAAGCAAACUUUGGAGAAGAUUACCUGUCUGAGACCCCGUGUCAGAGAAGAAAUAGUGUCCAGGCAUCAUUUUGUAAGAGAUGCUCACCAAAUUAUUUUUCCAAAGGUUUCCUCGUGUAAAACUAUGUUCUUCCCAUAUAUAUUAAAAAUAGAUUUGUUACAUCCUAACUUUUGUGUUAUUAUUUCAAGAAUAAAGUUUUGAUUUCAAUUUGAGGAAAAGCAGUUCUUCCACUUUAUGGCUAUUAUAAUAUUAAUAAAAUACUUUAAAACUGUAUGUGUAAAGGUUUGUUAUGAGAUAUGCAAGCUCACCUGUAUCUGAUAUAUUGAUAUCUGAUAAUAAUUUUGCAGAAGUCUACAAUAAUUUAAUUUUACUCCAAUACUCUAGUUUGACUUUUAUUUUUUAUACAAUUUAAUUAAAAUUUAAAUAUGAGGAAAGCUUUGUCACUACAUAGCUUCGUCUGCUGUAUAUUUUCCUUUUUACAAACCAGUCUACUUGGAGUUGAAGAAAUAGGGAAGAGAUGGUCCAUAAUCCCAGCUUCCCACUAGAUGACGCUCUAAGUACAAAAACACAAACUUUAGCAUAUUCAUAAAUUUAUGCGUAAACUGCUUAAACACAUUAUGUGUCCAUUAAUUUACAGCUCUUACGUGCUUAUAAAGAUUGAUGAUAGGGAGGCACAGUGGCCUGUGAAAGAUUGGAAAAACAGUGGUUCUUCUGUUCAAAAGUAUGGCUAUAGGUAUUUCCCCUGGUAUGUCUAUAGCCAUAGCACAUCAUUUAACUUCAGUGUUAAUUGUUUUGGUCCCAUGUGCUACAACACACUAGCUAACAGCAUUUUUUUCUUACUUGCUUGAAGCUUACUCUAAUGUGGUUAAAUGCCAAAAUUUACUAUACUUUACUCCCGUAAGAUGUAGUAAUUUGGAUAGAUACCUAGGUGUUAAAAUACACCAUGUAUUGCAUGGAUAUAUCAUGCAGAAGCAUGCACACUCACACAUAUUUACCAACUAGAAUAAACAGAUAAAAGCUAUUAAAUAACUCUGUAUUCACCUGAGCCCUUCCUCACAGUUAUCUUUACAUAAAGUACCAUAAAGGAAACACUGUCACGUCAAUGCCUUCCUAGUAAAGUGUCUUCCAUCUGUACGGUUUCUUUAUAAAAGAUGUAAGACCAAGUUAUGAAACGAUGUUGGAGAACUUGAACUGCUAGAGUGACAAUGCAUAAUUACACUUCAAUGCUGUAAUUGUUUAUGUUUUGUAUAAUCUAUUCUUAAAAAAAGAAAAAUAUAUUUAAAAUUUAAAUUAUUUAAAAUGAUUGAAAUGCUCAUUGUCAAAACACAAUAUGCAAAAGAAAAAAAGAAAAACAACCUAGCAAAAUUUCAACCAGAAAGGUUGCUAUUGUCAGAAAACAAUGCUGGCAUUAAAAAUGUCUCAUUUAUUCUAACAUAUAGUGACCUCUGAGUGCCUUAUCAGCAACAGAGUGUGUUGUUCAAGCUAUGUGGAAAAGCUUUGGGAUUCAAGAGAAGUGGGCACACAGCACAAUUACAGUGACAAUUUGUUUGAAGGCGCCUUGUCCAUCAGUGGCAAACCUGAUUCAUAAA